Zeugodacus cucurbitae (melon fly) is the source of this 1014-nucleotide long non-coding RNA. RefSeq lists it as uncharacterized. The record is from RefSeq and is a predicted model, not a curated record. The transcript is spliced from 2 exons. NCBI's taxonomy places the organism in Eukaryota, Metazoa, Arthropoda, Insecta, Diptera, Tephritidae.
GGGAAAAUUAGAAAUAUUUUUACACAAUGAUGAAUUAAAGGUCUAUUAAAUAAGAAAGCAGUUGAAUGGUUCAUAAAUUCCAACUGUAAUUAAAUAUGAAAUUAACUAAUGUACAUAGUAUGUACAUAUAUGUAGGAAUGGACAAUAUAUAGGGCAAGUGGCAACAUUGUCACUGACCGAAUAACUUAGAGUACGGAUGGCAACCUUGCCAUUUAUCGAUAAGUCAACGAAGCGUCCAUCAGUGGCCAUAAUUGUAACGGUCCUUAUUGGAUGAUCCAUACAGAUCAGCCAUUUGUAAUAGCAUGUAAGCUUUCAGUUGUUAAGUGAAGUUUGUUGAAGGCGGUCACGCCGCCGCGCGAAUAAAAUAAGUGCGGUUAAAGUGAAUUGAAAUAAAUACUAUUGAAAUAAAGUGUCUCGUUUAAUAUGGAAACCCACAUAUAUGUAUGUAAAUUUAACCAGAUGUUAGGAUCUAUUAUAUUCGGUUUUUAGAAGUCGCUCGUUGCAACAGAAACAAUCAAUUAAACGCAAUUGCAUUUGGAAGAAAUGAGGAACCUAGUAGUUUUCGCUGUAUUCUUUCUGGCUUUGGCUUACGAAGCAAAAGCCUUUUUUGCACUUCCAGCCCCAAGUUCAAGUUCUAACUGCCCUUGCGCUUGCUCCUCAAACAACAAACCGUCAGGGGGUGGCUCAACACCUAAACCAAUCGUUAUAAAUGUGACUCCUGGAGGCGAUGACGAUGAUGGUGAUGUAGGUAAUGGAGGCAGACGCCGCUUAAUCGGCCGAAGGAAUAGACGUCUCCGCGGUGGCAGAUUAAGAGUGAGAAGACGCAGAUUGUACUAAACGUAUGCUGCUACAAUGUGAAAAAGGAAGGCUAUACAUUAUAUUAUAACUUUUAAAAUUGUUUUAGUUCAUAUGUAUACUUUUUAUUAUUUGUUAUUGUUUUGAAAUUUAAUAAAAUAUGAAUAGCAUGAAAAAAAAUGUUACUAAAAAUAUACUAUAUUUAUAUAUAUUAUUGCA